CCUACGGGCGGCAGCAGUGGGGAAUAUUGGACAAUGGGCGAAAGCCUGAUCCAGCCAUGCCGCGUGUGUGAAGAAGGCCUUCGGGUUGUAAAGCACUUUCAGUGGGGAAGAAAGCCUUGGGGCUAAUACCCUCGAGGAAGGACAUCACCCACGGAAGAAGCACCGGCUAACUCCGUGCCAGCAGCCGCGGUAAUACGGAGGGUGCGAGCGUUAAUCGGAAUUACUGGGCGUAAAGCGCGCGUAGGCGGUCUGAUAAGCCGGUUGUGAAAGCCCCGGGCUCAACCUGGGAACGGCAUCCGGAACUGUCAGGCUAGAGUGCAGGAGAGGAAGGUAGAAUUCCCGGUGUAGCGGUGAAAUGCGUAGAGAUCGGGAGGAAUACCAGUGGCGAAGGCGGCCUUCUGGACUGACACUGACGCUGAGGUGCGAAAGCGUGGGUAGCAAACAGGAUUAGAUACCCUUGUAGUC
Molecule: ribosomal RNA, 465 nt
Filed under: Vreelandella stevensii
Lineage: Bacteria; Pseudomonadati; Pseudomonadota; Gammaproteobacteria; Oceanospirillales; Halomonadaceae
Description: partial 16S ribosomal RNA
Rfam family: Bacterial small subunit ribosomal RNA
Source: RNAcentral